UAAGUUAAAGUAUCACAAGAAAACCAUAUUUAAAUGUCACAAACAUCAUGUUUAAAGAUGAAUGGUCUGUUUUACUCUUGAACAUGAAGUGGUGAUGCAUUCAAAAUUGACUUACAUAUAUGCUAACAUCAAACAAUGACCCUCCUCAAAAAUUUUCCUCUAAAGCUAAAUAUAUCCUACUUGCAAAUCCUGCAUACAUUAAAACAUUAAGAUGCUUGAAAUAGAAUGAAUCUCAUCUACUUUAGAGAUGACAUAAAGGUAAUUACAAGGAUCACAGUAGCAAAAGAAGGUAAGCAUAUAACAUCAAUCAUACAUACAGAAACUAUGAAAAUGCCUCAUCUACUUUAGAGAUGACAUAAAGGUAAUUACAAGGAUCACAGUAGCAAAAGAAGGUAAGCAUAUAACAUCAAUCAUACAUACAGAAACUAUGAAAAUGCCUGAUAUCUAGAAAAUAUAUACAAGAAACUAGCCAAGUUUUGAUAAGAUUAACGUUUUCCACAAACAAUUAU
RNAcentral lists this long non-coding RNA (509 nucleotides) under Phaseolus vulgaris (common bean). RNAcentral describes it as "long non-coding RNA (PVUL_LNC004599)". Lineage: Eukaryota; Viridiplantae; Streptophyta; Magnoliopsida; Fabales; Fabaceae. The record is from RNAcentral.